RNAcentral lists this ribosomal RNA (288 nucleotides) under uncultured bacterium. Its description in RNAcentral is "partial 16S ribosomal RNA". It matches the Rfam family "Bacterial small subunit ribosomal RNA", at positions 333 to 638 of the family's 1533-position model. The record is from RNAcentral.
GUUUACCUACGGGAGGCAGCAGCGGGGGAUAUUGCACAAUGGGGGAAACCCUGAUGCAGCAACGCCGCGUGAGUGAAGAGGGUCUUCGGAUUGUAAAGCUCUGUUCUUGGUGAAGAUAAUGACGGUAGCCAAGGAGAAAGCUCCGGCUAACUACGUGCCAGCAGCCGCGGUAAUACGUAGGGAGCGAGCGUUGUUCGGAUUUACUGGGUGUAAAGGGUGCGCAGGCGGCUCUGCAAGUCAGGCGUGAAAGCUAGGGGCUCAACCCCUAAACUGCGCUUGAAACUGUGG